AUCCUUUUCUAGUUCAUACGUGUGGUGAUUGGGUGUUCACGCUCUUGUGACAUGUGCCUCCCACAAACCUUGUUACAACAUUGGCACAUUACUUGUCUGACA
This is a small nucleolar RNA of Pteronotus mesoamericanus, 102 nucleotides long. RefSeq annotates it as small nucleolar RNA U13. The record is from RefSeq and is a predicted model, not a curated record. Lineage: Eukaryota; Metazoa; Chordata; Mammalia; Chiroptera; Mormoopidae. The transcript has a single exon.